CACGCCAAGUAUGAAUGCCCAAAUCCUCUCACGCAUGACCAAAAAUAUUCCCAUAAUAUUUUUUGGUCCUCACUCUCUCUCACGGAUGUUUUCUAUGAGAGCUCUUCAGAUUUUCGCACACAAUAGCCAUAAACAAUUUAUGGUAUGCAUAUAGAGUUAUAGAUGGAAUCAAAUGCCACCUAGAUAAGGCUGGUUUGAAUCAAAUUCAAAUCCUGUGUUAUCCUAAUCCAAUGAGAGGCAAGAGUGGGCAUGAAAGAAGAGUUGGAUGUGCUGAAUUCUAAUGAUUUCUCCCUUUCUCUUUAUCACACAAAUCAAAAGGGAUGAUGAGGUGUCACCCAAACAU
Molecule: long non-coding RNA, 343 nt
Filed under: Elaeis guineensis (African oil palm)
Lineage: Eukaryota; Viridiplantae; Streptophyta; Magnoliopsida; Arecales; Arecaceae
Description: long non-coding RNA (EGUI_LNC034473)
Source: RNAcentral